UGUAUCUGAAGUCUGACGAGGAUGAGAACUUCCGGGGGCAAGAGGUUCGACUCGAGCGAAGCGAGAGAACGUUGCGUCAGCAACGGCCCGCAGGGCGAGCCACGCAGUGGCGAGUCAUCCUCUAUCACCGACCA
RNAcentral lists this small RNA (134 nucleotides) under Salmonella enterica. RNAcentral describes it as "RtT sRNA". It matches the Rfam family "RtT RNA". Rfam says of the family: This family represents a bacterial cis-regulatory element known as RtT RNA. The record is from RNAcentral. RNAcentral also lists the same sequence under 2 other names. Lineage: Bacteria; Pseudomonadati; Pseudomonadota; Gammaproteobacteria; Enterobacterales; Enterobacteriaceae.